Apis dorsata (giant honeybee) is the source of this 2000-nucleotide long non-coding RNA. RefSeq lists it as uncharacterized. The transcript has 2 exons. NCBI's taxonomy places the organism in Eukaryota, Metazoa, Arthropoda, Insecta, Hymenoptera, Apidae. The record is from RefSeq and is a predicted model, not a curated record.
UAUUUUUUUUUUAACAUUUAUCCUUAUGAUCAAUCAUAGAUAUUAGAAAAAACUUUUUUUUUUUUAAAUCUUUGAACACUAUUUAUCUUACACUAUGCUGACAUAGCAUAGAGGACACACGUGGGAUAACCGGCACAGAAAUCAAGUCAGAGAAAGGAACUAUAAAAUCACGUGGGCGAUGAAGGUUUUCCAUAGGCUUACCUCUUUCGGCAAAAGACGCUUCCAAAUAACGUUUCCGUCUUUUGAAUUGAAAAUCAAUCUUUCGAAUUCGUAGUUUUUAAUAUAUAUAUUAUAUUGUAACUAACGAUUGAAUUAUUAAAUAAAGUAAGAAUCACAAUAUAAUUAAUAUGAGGAGAAAAAUAAAAUUCGCAUUCUAAAAAGCAUCUAGACGAUUAAAAUGCACAUUAAUACAAUUCACUACUAACGUCAAGAACCGCCCAUCCGAAAUACCUGCAAUGCGCUUUGGAGGAAAAUCGAUCGUGUUCCUGGUCUCGGCUACGCCCCAAAGAACCAUUUGCCAGGAAUUUACCAAUGAGACAUGCUUUAUCUUUUACUAAUUUUAUUUUCUGCUUCAAUAACAAAAAAUAUGUUUCAAUAACAACAAGUAAAUAAAAAUAAAAAACUUUGAAUCAAAUGAAUCUUUAAGAUUCACAUCGAGACAUUAUCUGGAUGCAGAUAGAAAGUGGUCUUGUGCCACUUAUUGUGCUUGUCGAGAAUACUCGCACAAAUAUUCAUGGAAUACUUCUACUCUGAUCUCUACAGAUUUUUACCAUUAAUUUUAACUAAUUAAAAUUGUAUAACAUGUAAGUUAAACUUAAUCUAUGAUCAAAUGAACAAUUUUUAAAAAGAGUUUUGAUUAUCAAAUAGAUAAACACCAAUAUAUUUUUAAUAAAUUUCUAUUUUUUUUUUUCAGACGUACAAAAUUAUAUUAAAAAAUUAUAUUACGUAAGUUCAAUCAAUUACAAACAACGAAAGGAAAUGGAUAGAAAACGUGACAUAUAAAAUGCAGUAGACGUAUCCAAACAUGGACAUACCGCUUCGUGAUUCGAUCGUGUGAACCUCUCCUUAUUUUUUACCUUCUUUUAUCGCGUUUUUCGCAAUAAAUAUUUUACAAGUCAUAUUACUAACAUCUUCUAAAUAAUUUUGGGAAGAACAGGAUAAAUUUUAAUACCAUUUAAAAUAAUAUUUUCGAGUAAAAUUCUGCCUAAGAUGAAAAUAUUUUUAAAAAAAACGAUGAAGCGAAUCAUAUUUUAUUGAAUUUUAUUGAGAAUAUUAUUAGAUAAUGUUACUCUAUAAACAAAACCAAAUACAAGCGAAAACCGAAUAUAUAAAUGUCUUUCCCGUUUUGGAAAUGCGACAUCGUGUUACGAUGAUAUCACCGUAAAGUGUUACUCAAUAACCAGACUGGUCGCAGAAUUGGAUAUUCUCAGUUUUCUAAUUGAUAAUUGUACUUUAUUAAAACAAUUUCUACUUCUAAUCUCUUGUAAAGUUUACGAUAACGAUAAGUUUAAUAUCUGUGAAUUUUAUCCAGUCUAUGAUCAAAAUCCUGAUACUAAACAAUCUUUAAACAAUAAAAAAUAAAGCGAAAAAAAUGUGAAAAAUGAGAAGUAGAAAAAUAAGAUAAGGAUAAAAAUUGAAAUACGGAAAGAAAACAGGAUUCAUACGAGAAAAGGAAUAGGAGGGGAGAUCGAGAAGAACAACUGGGUGACUCACAAUCAGAUUUCGAAGCUACCGUUAUCGAGUUGGUUCCCUUGAUCCACGACUUCGCCGCGAUGUAUCCGUACUCUGUCCAAAGUAGAAAACGACACCAUUUACGGCAACUUGCGGCUCCGUUGUUACUCGUUUUCAGACUCGUAUCACAAGAUCAUUCGAGAAAGUAGUCGUAUGUCAAAAUCUUGUCCUCGAUAUACAACUCGGCCACCCCUACUGGUAUUCGCAUGAAAAUCUUUGUGCGAUGAGAUAUUUCGAAUAUUUUUGCAAUAAAUAAUCUAUAAAAUAUA